RNAcentral lists this unclassified non-coding RNA (1193 nucleotides) under Hevea brasiliensis (rubber tree). Lineage: Eukaryota; Viridiplantae; Streptophyta; Magnoliopsida; Malpighiales; Euphorbiaceae. The record is from RNAcentral.
AAUAAUAAUAAUAAUAAUAAAAGAUUUUCCAAAAUGUGCUUCACCAUUGGCCAACAGCGAGUGUUCAAAGAUUGAAUGUGCAUUGUAAUACAAGUGAUUUCAAGAAUUUAAAUCUUGAAUGAUCAUGUGGCCCAAAUGGCUCCAAUUAGAAGAUCACUUGAGCAAGUGUUGCUCUGAUCCAGUGAAGAUGGAGCUGCAAGUUUUAGCUCUAAAUCUGGUGGUGCACAUUGAAGAUUAGGAUUAUUUGUUGCACCAAAAGUAGGUUCAGAGUUGAAAGGUUUAGUACUUAACCAUAUAGGCGAUGUGGAAAGGUGAUGACGAGCAGAUGGAGAAGCUUCCGUGGUCUUCAAUGCAAAACCAGAACCAAAAAUAUUAUCACUUUCAGUUUUCUUAGAAAUGCCACCGUUGAGGGGUUCAAUUGAGGAUUGACCACUGCCCAUAUCGAAGAGGCUAGGACGGCGUUUUCUUUUGUUGAUGAGGCUGUUUUGUCUGAGAAAAUAUUUCUGUGCAUGACUGGCUACUUGGGUUGGAGUUCUUGUGGUCACAAAGUUCCUAGAAAUACCUCUCCAAUCACCCUUCCCUAGCUUAUGGAGCCCUAGUAGAAAGAUCCGAUGCUCCUCCUCACUCCAUGGCACUCCUUUCUUCCUUUCUUGGGUACGCCCAAGCAGGCCAUCAGAGAGAUAUCCAUUCGAGAAUGUAUCAACAUUUUCUUCCACAGUGGCAAGCGAAGAUCUAGAACAAGUAGAAGAAGAAGCUGUGGAUGGAGAUGACAAGCAAUCCACGCUAGAACUUUUCGUCAAAGAAACAAGAGAAGAUGAAGAAGAAGAAGAAGAGAAAAAGAAAGAAGAAGAGGAGGAAGAUCCUGAGAAGGAAGAAGAACCAGAUAAGCCUGAGAAGCAGUAGUAUUUUUGUCACCAGUCAGGAGCCUUGAAUUUCUUUAUUUGUUCUUCAUGUACUUUUGAUAGUAUAUCUAGCUUUAAGCGAUACUGACAGUGAUGAAAUGCAAUAAUCAUCAUCCAGUAAGAGUUUUGUCAUAGCUGAUGUUUCACAGUUCGAGCUGAAAGGAUCUUGCAAGCCUCCUUUCAGGACUUUUUAAAGGCCACAGGUUAUACGUAGGGUUUUCAUUUCUGUUUUGGUUGGAAUUUGAAUAUUGUAUGACGUGUUUGAUUAGUAAAUUCCAUUUUUGAUAAAAA